UACGUAGGGGGCAAGCGUUGUCCGGAAUCAUUGGGCGUAAAGAGCGUGUAGGCGGCUUGGCAAGUCUGGUGUGAAAUCUUGCGGCUCAACCGCAGGCGGUCACUGGAAACUGCCUCGCUAGAGUCCGGAAGAGGAGAGCGGAAUUCCUGGUGUAGCGGUGGAAUGCGCAGAUAUCAGGAGGAACACCGAUGGCGAAGGCAGGUCUCUGGGCAUUAACUGACGCUGAGGAGCGAAAGCAUGGGGAGCGAACAGG
Molecule: ribosomal RNA, 253 nt
Filed under: uncultured bacterium
Lineage: Bacteria
Description: partial 16S ribosomal RNA
Rfam family: Bacterial small subunit ribosomal RNA
Source: RNAcentral